AACCAUAGAAACCUGCGGAGUACCUGCGGAGGGAUCAUUAUAGUAUAUGGAAUCUCCAUUCUAUAAACCCACUCUGCGUAUCUUGUAACUGUUGCUUCCAUGGGACUUGGUUCCGCCACACCGGCUUCACGGCUGGUGAGCGCCCAUGGAAGGAGAAACAAAACUCUUCUUUGAAAUGUAGUCAGUCUGAACAAGUUUUUAUAGACGUUAAAACUUUUAGCAACGGAUCUCAGAUCGGAA
This 240-nucleotide unclassified non-coding RNA is filed under the name soil metagenome. RNAcentral's name for it is "partial contains 5.8S ribosomal RNA, internal transcribed spacer 2, and large subunit ribosomal RNA". The record is from RNAcentral.